UACGUAGGGGGCUAGCGUUGUCCGGAAUCAUUGGGCGUAAAGAGCGCGUAGGCGGCCCGGUAAGUCCGCUGUGAAAGUCCAGGGCUCAACCCUGGGAUGCCGGUGGAUACUGUCGAGCUCGAGUCCGGAAGAGGCGAGUGGAAUUCCUGGUGUAGCGGUGAAAUGCGCAGAUAUCAGGAGGAACACCAAUGGCGAAGGCAGCUCGCUGGGACGUGACUGACGCUGAGACGCGAAAGCGUGGGGAGCAAACAGG
Molecule: ribosomal RNA, 253 nt
Filed under: uncultured bacterium
Lineage: Bacteria
Description: partial 16S ribosomal RNA
Rfam family: Bacterial small subunit ribosomal RNA
Source: RNAcentral